This 482-nucleotide ribosomal RNA is filed under the name uncultured bacterium. Its description in RNAcentral is "bacterial SSU rRNA". It matches the Rfam family "Bacterial small subunit ribosomal RNA", at positions 30 to 506 of the family's 1533-position model. The record is from RNAcentral.
UUGAACGCUGGCGGCAUGCUUUACACAUGCAAGUCGAACGGUAACAGGGAGCUUGCUCCGCUGACGAGUGGCGAACGGGUGAGUAAUGCAUCGGAACGUACCCAGUCGUGGGGGAUAACGUAGCGAAAGUUACGCUAAUACCGCAUACGUCCUGAGGGAGAAAGCGGGGGACCGUAAGGCCUCGCGCGAUUGGAGCGGCCGAUGUCGGAUUAGCUAGUUGGUGGGGUAAAGGCCUACCAAGGCGACGAUCCGUAGCUGGUGUGAGAGGAUGAUCCGCCACACUGGAACUGAGACACGGUCCAGACUCCUACGGGAGGCAGCAGUGGGGAAGUUUGGACAAUGGGGGCAACCCUGAUCCAGCCAUUCCGCGUGAGUGAAGAAGGCCUUCGGGUUGUAAAGCUCUUUCAGCAGGAACGAAACGGUGGCCAUUAAUACUGGCUACUAAUGACGGUACCUGAAGAAGAAGCACCGGCUAACUACGU